GACGCGAAGAACCUUACCUGGUCUUGACAUCCACAGAACUUAGCAGAGAUGCUUUGGUGCCUUCGGGAACUGUGAGACAGGUGCUGCAUGGCUGUCGUCAGCUCGUGUUGUGAAAUGUUGGGUUAAGUCCCGCAACGAGCGCAACCCUUAUCCUUUGUUGCCAGCGGUCCGGCCGGGAACUCAAAGGAGACUGCCAGUGAUAAACUGGAGGAAGGUGGGGAUGACGUCAAGUCAUCAUGGCCCUUACGACCAGGGCUACACACGUGCUACAAUGGCAUAUACAAAGAGAAGCGACCUCGCGAGAGCAAGCGGACCUCAUAAAGUAUGUCGUAGUCCGGAUUGGAGUCUGCAACUCGACUCCAUGAAGUCGGAAUCGCUAGUAAUCGUAGAUCAGAAUGCUACGGUGAAUACGUUCCCGGGUCUUGUACACACCG
This 434-nucleotide ribosomal RNA is filed under the name uncultured Klebsiella sp. Its description in RNAcentral is "bacterial SSU rRNA". It matches the Rfam family "Bacterial small subunit ribosomal RNA", at positions 958 to 1392 of the family's 1533-position model. Lineage: Bacteria; Pseudomonadati; Pseudomonadota; Gammaproteobacteria; Enterobacterales; Enterobacteriaceae. The record is from RNAcentral.